RNAcentral lists this transfer RNA (64 nucleotides) under Cavia porcellus (domestic guinea pig). It matches the Rfam family "tRNA", at positions 1 to 62 of the family's 71-position model. From Rfam's summary of the family: Transfer RNA (tRNA) molecules are approximately 80 nucleotides in length. Their secondary structure includes four short double-helical elements and three loops (D, anti-codon, and T loops). Further hydrogen bonds mediate the characteristic L-shaped molecular structure. tRNAs have two regions of fundamental functional importance: the anti-codon, which is responsible for specific mRNA codon recognition, and the 3' end, to which the tRNAs corresponding amino acid is attached (by aminoacyl-tRNA synthetases). tRNAs cope with the degeneracy of the genetic code in two manners: having more than one tRNA (with a specific anti-codon) for a particular amino acid; and 'wobble' base-pairing, i.e. permitting non-standard base-pairing at the 3rd anti-codon position. Lineage: Eukaryota; Metazoa; Chordata; Mammalia; Rodentia; Caviidae. The record is from Rfam by way of RNAcentral.
GGGGAUUUAGCUUAGCGGCAUAAGCGCCUGCCUUGCAAGCAGGCAGUUAUGAGUUCGAUCCCCA